This 429-nucleotide ribosomal RNA is filed under the name uncultured bacterium. RNAcentral describes it as "bacterial SSU rRNA". It matches the Rfam family "Bacterial small subunit ribosomal RNA", at positions 355 to 776 of the family's 1533-position model. The record is from RNAcentral.
UGGGGAAUUUUGGACAAUGGGCGAAAGCCUGAUCCAGCAAUACCGCGUGUGUGAUGAAGGCCUUCGGGUUGUAAAGCACUUUCAGUUGUGAAGAAAAAGUACAGGUUAAUACCCUGUGCCCAUGACGUUAGCAACAGAAGAAGCACCGGCUAACUCUGUGCCAGCAGCCGCGGUAAUACAGAGGGUGCAAGCGUUAAUCGGAAUUACUGGGCGUAAAGAGCGCGUAGGUGGUUAAUUAAGUCAUAUGUGAAAGCCCCGAGCCCAACUCGGGAACUGCAUGUGAUACUGGUUGACUAGAGUAUAGUAGAGGGAAGUGGAAUUUCCGGUGUAGCGGUGAAAUGCAUAGAUAUCGGAAGGAACAUCAGAGGCGAAGGCGACUUCUUGGGCUAUUACUGACACUGAGGCGCGAAAGCGUGGGUAGCAAACAGG